GACGAACGCUGGCGGCGUGCUUAACACAUGCAAGUCGAACGGUGAAGCGCUUGCCUUUUUGGUGGGUGUGGAUGAGUGGCGAACGGGUGAGUAACACGUGAGUAACCUGCCCUCUUCUUCUGGAUAACCUCAUGAAAGUGGGGCUAAUACGGGGUAUUCCGGGUCUGUCGCAUGGCGGGUUUGGGAAAGAUUGCGCCUUUGGGUGUUUUCGGUGGGGGAUGGGCUCGCGGCCUAUCAGCUUGUUGGUGGGGUGAUGGCCUACCAAGGCGGUGACGGGUAGCCGGCCUGAGAGGGUGGACGGCCACACUGGGACUGAGACACGGCCCAGACUCCUGCGGGAGGCAGCAGUGGGGAAUAUGGCACAAUGGGCGCAAGCCUGAUGCAGCGACGCCGCGUGAGGGAUGGAGGCCUUCGGGUUGUGAACCUCUUUCGCCAGUGAAGCAGGCCUGCUCCUGUGUGGGUGGGUUGACGGUAGCUGGAGAAGAAGCGCCGGCUAACUACGUG
Molecule: ribosomal RNA, 504 nt
Filed under: uncultured bacterium
Lineage: Bacteria
Description: partial 16S ribosomal RNA
Rfam family: Bacterial small subunit ribosomal RNA
Source: RNAcentral